GGGUGCGAUCAUACCAGCACUAAUGCACCGGAUCCCAUCAGAACUCCGCAGUUAAGCGUGCUUGGUCGAGAGUAGUACUGGGAUGGGUGACCUCCUGGGAAGUCCUCGUGUUGCACCCC
This 119-nucleotide ribosomal RNA is filed under the name Gossypium hirsutum (cotton). Lineage: Eukaryota; Viridiplantae; Streptophyta; Magnoliopsida; Malvales; Malvaceae. The record is from RNAcentral.